RNAcentral lists this ribosomal RNA (492 nucleotides) under uncultured bacterium. RNAcentral's name for it is "partial 16S ribosomal RNA". It matches the Rfam family "Bacterial small subunit ribosomal RNA", at positions 28 to 523 of the family's 1533-position model. The record is from RNAcentral.
GAUGAACGCUAGCGGCAGGCUUAACACAUGCAAGUCGAGGGGUAUAGUAGCAAUACUAGAGACCGGCGCACGGGUGCGUAACGCGUAUGCAAUCUACCUUUCACAGAGGGAUAGCCCAGAGAAAUUUGGAUUAAUACCUCAUAGUAUAGUAUCUUGGCAUCAAGGAACUAUUAAAGUCACAACGGUGAAAGAUGAGCAUGCGUCCCAUUAGUUAGUUGGUAAGGUAACGGCUUACCAAGACUACGAUGGGUAGGGGUCCGGAGAGGGAGAUCCCCCAAACUGGUACUGGGAAACGGACCAGACUCCUACGGGAGGCAGCAGUGAGGAAUAUUGGACAAUGGGCGCAAGCCUGAUCCAGCCAUGCCGCGUGCAGGAUGACGGUCCUAUGGAUUGUAAACUGCUUUUGUACAGGAAGAAACACCCCGACGUGUCGGGACUUGACGGUACUGUAAGAAUAAGGAUCGGCUAACUACGUGCCAGCCGCCGCAGUAA